Long non-coding RNA from Equus asinus (donkey), 4956 nucleotides. The record is from Ensembl. Lineage: Eukaryota; Metazoa; Chordata; Mammalia; Perissodactyla; Equidae.
GUUUUAGUCUCUUUUGUGACAAAGGUCCUGAACUCAUUGAAUUGUUUCUCUAUUUUCUUUUACCUCAUUGAGUUUUUUGAUGAUAGCUAUUCUGAAUUCAUUGUCAUUUAGUUUACUUAUUUCUGAGUCCUCAGGUCAUAACUCUGGGUAUUUAUUCUUUUCCCUCUGGUCUGGAGAUUUGAUGAAUUGUUUGAUGCUGGAACUAUGGAUUUUCCCCAUUGUGAUAUUAUUUGGUUUCAGUUACUGCCUAUUGCCAAUGGAUGGGGGUCGAGAGCCAAGUAUUCUGUGCCCUCUGACCUUGGCCAAGAUGGCGUGUCACAGCGUGUGUUGGGGAGGCGCUUUCUCUUGCGUGAAGUCCCGGGUUUCCUGAUCAGCUCUCGCUAUCUGGUCUCCUGGGGUCUUGGCUUGAUGAGGUCACCCCAUGUGAAAGCUUUUGCCCCGUUAGACGGCUUCCCUCUAGGCUGCGAGGGUGCUAGGGAGUCCUGGGUGAUCCUGCUGAUGCACGACCCCUCCCCUACUCCUUUCUUCAUGGAGCCUCCCACGGCAGUGACCCCACUCUUUAGGGGAGGGAGCGAAGUUCUCUCUUACCCUGUUCCAGCUCCUCUCAGGGCCGCUCCAGCCUCUCUGCCCUCCAUUGUUUGACUGCUGUGGGUCUCCGAGGAUUCUUGUGGUAUUAGGAUAUUUUCUGUUGGAAUAUGGUUGCUCCUUUUUGUUGUAUGUUGGAGGGAAGGGAGUCCUGGCCAAGCUCACCCCACCAUGAUGCUGACAUCACCCCUCUUCCUAUUUCUUUUUAAUUCUUAAUUCUUUUUUCUUUUUUCUGUUCAGCCAGGGUGGUUUCCUCUACUCUUUAAUCCAGAUAACUGAUCUGUUCUUCUGUGUCAUCUGUUGUGUUGUUGAUUCUCUCUAGUGAAUUUUUCAUUUCUGUUAUUGUAUUCUUCAGUUCUGAUUGGUUGUUUCUUAUAUUUGCCUAUUCUUUGUUGAAGUCCUCACCGUGUUCAUCUAUUCUGCUAAGAUCAGUGAGUAUCUUUAUGACAAUUAGUUUAUACUCUUUAUUAGGUCGAUUGUUUAUCUCUGUUUCAUUUAGCUCUUUUUCUGAAGAUUUGUCCUGUUCCCUUAUUUGGAAGAUAUUUCUUUGUCUCCUCAUUUUGCCUACUUCUCUGUGCUUAUAUCUAUGUAUCAGGUGAAGCAGCUAUGUGCCCUGAUCCUGGAAAUGUGGCCUUCUGUAAGAGAUACAUUAUGGGGCCCUGCAAUGUGCUCCUCUCUCUUCACCCAUUCCAAAUGUUCCAGGAUUGUCCCCUGUGUUGACUACGUGUGCCUUUCCAUUGUAUUGGGGUAGCUCUUGCUGCAGGUGCAUGGGUAAGCUAGGCAGGCCCCCAGGCCAGCUGGUUGUAAUGUUCAGCUUUGUGCAGCUGCUGUGGUCACUUUAGUCACUUUAUGGUGGGCCACCCCCUGCAUGGCUGUCUGCAGGGUCUAAUAGCACAUUCCUAUUACUGUUUUGCUGUUAAGUGAGGCCACCAGCAAGGCUAGUUGCUAGGCUGAGUGGCUCAAAAUUGCUAUAGGUCUCCAGCCUGCAAGCCUUUUGUCAGAUCUCUCAGGAGCACAGAUGUGUGGAGCCAGACCCAGGCAUGGCAGCACACAUUCAUUUUAGGUGUUGGAGGGUGAGGCAGAUCCCCUGUGUGGUUGUUGGAGAUGGCCAGUAGCACAAGUCUGCUGUGGCUGAAAGGUCCCACCACCUGAGGGCUCACACACCUUGCCAACAAAGGCUCACCCCUUGUGUAUGCCCUGCUGGGCCCACUUGCCCUGCUUCAGAGGUGCUACAAAGCCAUGUAUGCAGGCCUCCAAGUUCCCUGCUGGCUUGCUGGUGGGUGGGGCCAGACUGUAAGGCGGACUGCCUGCCCUGGCUCCACUGGAUUAAAUUGGUGUUCUAGUGGGCAGGGCAAACCCCUGGGUUAACAUGCUGGAGGAAGAAAUCCAACAGUAUCUUCCAGUUUCUAUGUCAGCAUGACAGUAAUGGCUGCCGCCAGUGUCUCAGUCCUUGCCGAGGUGGGCCCAGCCACCUCCUGCCUCUCUGACAUGCGUUCAGAGCUAAGCAAGUAAGUCUUAUGCCAAUGGACUAUGCACUUUUCUUUCUGGUGUUUUCUGGAAUGGGUGAAUCUGUGCAUAGGCCCUUUAAGAGCCAAUUUCUUUCUGUGAAAUUUGAUGGUUUUUUUUUCGCUGAAGUUUGAUAGUUUUUCUGGUGGUAUUCCUUAUUGGCUUUCAAAGACAGCAAAGCCAGGUAUUAUGGGAUCUCAUCUUGAUUGAACUGAACUCAAAGGCUGGGAUGUCUACUGUGGCACAGAUCCCCUGCCCCAAUCCCCAUUCCUCUGAGAAAAGCUUGGUACCUUUAAGAUUGCUCCUGGCCAUGAAGCAAUGGGUCUAGGAUGUGGUUUUUCCUCAGCAGAGGUGUAUUUCUGCCUCUUCCACCUCUGUCAGUGUUGUCCCUUGUUGUGGGGGUUCUUCUUAUCCAGUUUCCAGAUCUCUCUCAGAGGUGAUUGUUCCACAGGUAGUUGUGGGUUUGUUGUGUCCGUGGGAGGAGGUGAGUUCAGUGCUCCUACACUGCCAUCUUCCAAACUCCCUCCCAAUCCUAUUUUUAAAAAUUCUGUCCGAACUGGUUACAUUCGUUGGUGAGAAGACUCUGAUCUCCAUCAAUAGACCCCUUUUUGUUGAAACAAACAAACAAGCACCAGAGAAUAGAAGUCCAACAACAACAAAAAUUCAAUCUAGAGAAGGUGAUUGAUUUAUCCCAAACCCCAAAUAAAAACAGGUAGUAGUAAGAUACACAAUUAAUGGUCUGUAGUGACAUCCUUGCAUAUAAAGGAAAGCACUUAAAGUAGGUCUCUAGUUUAAUUUACAAGAUGUGGCCAUGAAAUAAGAAGACUGUGUGAAGGAGAGAGGUUUAAUAGUUGGCUGUUAAGAGAGGUUUAGGAGGAAAGUUCUAAAAACAUUUUGAGGGAUAGACAAAUAGGAGAAAAGAUAUUUAAUCUGUUAAAAUUUGCAUUCUCUUUUAUAUUAAUUUAUGUUUAUUUGAAAAACCCCAAUAAUCUACUGCAUUUUUGUCUCUCAUAUAGCCAGGCUGCCAGCUGAGCUACAGUGAUGUCGACAGAGGCAGCUCCCACACAGCAUUUUUCAUAGAGAAGAGCAUUAGUUAAUUGAUACAGAAAAAAAGAUCUUCUGUGGGGACUACACGGUGGGGCUGUGGCAGGGCCUUUACCUGAUGGAGAAAAGAUGAUCUAGAGUAAGGCCAGAAACUAAGGUUAUCAACUUCUUUUUUAAAGAUUUUAUUUUUCCUUUUUCUCCCAAAGCCCCCUGGUAAGUAGUUGUAUAUUUUCAGUUGUGGAUCCUUCCAGUUGUAGCAUGUGGGACGCCGCCUCAGCAUGGCCUGAUGAGUGGUGGCAUGUUUGCGCCCAGGAUUCGAACCCGCAAAACCCUGGGCCACCAAAGCGGAGUGCAUGAACUUAACCAUUUGGCCACGGGGCCAGCCCCUGGUUAUUAACUUCUUAAAAGAACUGUGUGCCAGCAGUGCUUGUAAGCUUAGUGUCGUAUAGAAUAGUAUUUCUGCCCUAAAAAUCCCUCGUGCUCCAUAUACCUACUCCUCCUCCCUCUUCCCAACCCCUGGGAUCUAUUUACUGUCUCUGUAGUUUGGCCUUUUCCAGAACGUCACAGAGUUGAAAUCAUACAGUAUGUAGCCCUUUUGGAUUGGCCUCUUUCCUUUAGUGAUACGUGUCUAAGCUUCCUCCAUGGCUUUUCAUGGCUGCACGCUCACUUCUUUCUGUUGCUGAAUGCUAGUCCAUUGUAUGGAUGUGUUGUAGUUUAUCCAUUCAGCUAGUCAAGGACAUCAUGGUUGCUUCCAGGUUUUGGCACUUAUGAAUAAAGCUGUUAUAAACAUCUGUGUGCAUGUUUUUGUGUGGACAUCAGUUUUCAACUCAUUUGGGUAAAUACCUGGGAUCACGAUUGUUGGAUCAUAUGGUAACAGUAUGUUUAGUUUUGUGAGAAGUCACUGACAUGCCUUCUGAAGCAGCUGUACAUUUUGCAUUUCCAGCAGCAAUGGCUGAAAGUUCCUGUUUCUCCACAUCCUUGCGAGCAUUUGGUUUGGCAAGGCCCUUGAGGCUUGGAGGUGGUGAGCAAUUUGCUUACGGACACAGAUGACACCAUUAAACACCAGGGGAAGGAUCUGAACCUAGGUACUAUCUUCUCAAGUUCCUAAAUUUUUCUGAAGGUUUAAGUAAUACACAAGUUGGCAAAAUGCCUGGAGCAUGGUGGUAUUCCGUUAAUGUUGAUUUGCUUCCUUUCUUUUCCCCUUAGACUGUGGGGAGGAGAGAGGUCUCCUUCAUGUGUAUUUUUCUCUCCCCACUGUUUUGCACUUAAACAUGUAAGAUCAGUUUGUUACUGAGAAUUAUCCUACAGUGGGCUUAUUUUAAUAGUGUACAAUUUCCAGUCAACAAGAACUGAAAACUUUUUCUAGCCUAAAACUAAAACAAUAAAAAAAGAAAACCCCCAAUACACCCAAGGGUAGCACUGAUGAAUAACAAGUCAGAGAUAACACUGUCAUGGAGUUUUGGGUUGAUGAUGCCUUUGAGUGCAUACAAACUAGAGGUGAAGCUAUGAAUGGGCCAUGAAUGGUCCCUAUGAUGGAUACAUUUUCAUGUAAAGGGCUCCAAAUUUAGGUCCUUGGCUCCAUAUUGUUACUCAGUACUGCUCCAGAGUCAGCCUAGGGGCUUGCCAGCCUCCACAGCUCUGCUUCUGGAGAUAACUGAAGCUGGGAGAUCAUUCAGGUCUACCCUGAGAAUCCUUGGUUUUUGCCCAGAGUAGCCACUUUUCACAGCAAAGAUAUAAAUACAAUGGAAAUUAUUUUAAAAUAAGUAACAUAGUCUUACUUUCAGGUCCUGGAGAACGUGUAAAGUAAGGAAGUACAAGAGA